Molecule: ribosomal RNA, 479 nt
Filed under: Tubulanus sp. Palaeo_CB163_MCB006_18_02
Lineage: Eukaryota; Metazoa; Nemertea; Palaeonemertea; Tubulaniformes; Tubulanidae
Description: partial 16S ribosomal RNA
Rfam family: Bacterial large subunit ribosomal RNA
Source: RNAcentral
AGCUUAUUGAAUAUAUAUUAAGUAUUUUCUGCCCGGUGAAGUUUUAACGGCCGCGGUAUUUUGACCGUGCAAAGGUAGCAUAAUCAUUUGUCUAUUAAUUGUAGACUGGAAUGAAUGGAUUUACGUAGGAAUGGUUGUCUCCCUAAAGUUAUUUGAAUUUUCUUUUUAGAUGAAGAAGUCUAAAUUUAAAAAAGGGACGAGAAGACCCUAUUGAAUUUUAUAUUUGUUCAAAAAUUUUUUUACAGUGUUUAUUUUUGAUUUGAGUAUUUGGUUGGGGCAACUAAGGAAGCUAAAAUUUUCUUUUUUUAUAUUUUGAUCCGUUAUUUAAUGAUUGAAAGAAUAAAUUACCAUAGGGAUAACAGCGUUAUUCUUUUAGAGAGUUCUUAUCGAUAAAAGAGAUUGCGACCUCGAUGUUGGACUAAAAUUUCCUGAGGGUGUAGCAUUUCUUAAGGGUAGGUCUGUUCGACCUUUAAAAUUUU